AGAGUUUGAUCAUGGCUCAGAGCGAACGCUGGCGGCAGGCCUAACACAUGCAAGUCGAACGAACUCUUCGGAGUUAGUGGCGGACGGGUGAGUAACACGUGGGAACGUGCCUUUUGGUUCGGAAUAACUCAGGGAAACUUGUGCUAAUACCGAAUGUGCCCUUCAGGGGAAAGAUUUAUCGCCAUUAGAGCGGCCCGCGUCUGAUUAGCUAGUUGGUGAGGUAACGGCUCACCAAGGCGACGAUCAGUAGCUGGUCUGAGAGGAUGAUCAGCCACACUGGGACUGAGACACGGCCCAGACUCCUACGGGAGGCAGCAGUGGGGAAUCUUGCGCAAUGGGCGAAAGCCUGACGCAGCCGUGCCGCGUGAAUGAUGAAGGUCUUAGGAUUGUAAAAUUCUUUCACCGGGGACGAUAAUGACGGUACCCGGAGAAGAAGCCCCGGCUAACUUCGUGCCAGCCGCCGCGGUAAUAC
This 472-nucleotide ribosomal RNA is filed under the name uncultured bacterium. RNAcentral's name for it is "bacterial SSU rRNA". It matches the Rfam family "Bacterial small subunit ribosomal RNA", at positions 8 to 526 of the family's 1533-position model. The record is from RNAcentral.